RNAcentral lists this ribosomal RNA (500 nucleotides) under uncultured bacterium. Its description in RNAcentral is "bacterial SSU rRNA". It matches the Rfam family "Bacterial small subunit ribosomal RNA", at positions 25 to 518 of the family's 1533-position model. The record is from RNAcentral.
CAGGAUGAACGCUAGCGACAGGCCUAACACAUGCAAGUCGAGGGGCAGCACAAGGAGCAAUCUGAGGUGGCGACCGGCGCACGGGUGAGUAACACGUAUGCAACCUGCCUGUAAGCGGGGAAUAACCCGUUGAAAGACGGACUAAUACCGCAUAAUACUAAAUUACUGCAUGGUAAUUUAUUUAAACAUUUAUGGCUUACAGAUGGGCAUGCGCAUGAUUAGCUAGUUGGAGAGGUAACGGCUCCCCAAGGCAACGAUCAUUAGGGGUUCUGAGAGGAAGGUCCCCCACACUGGUACUGAGACACGGACCAGACUCCUACGGGAGGCAGCAGUGAGGAAUAUUGGUCAAUGGACGAGAGUCUGAACCAGCCAAGUCGCGUGCAGGAAGAAUGUCCUAAUGGAUUGUAAACUGCUUUUGCAGGGGGAAUAAAGUGCAUCACGUGUGAUGUUUUGUAUGUACUCUGCGAAUAAGGAUCGGCUAACUCCGUGCCAGCCGCUGC